RNAcentral lists this ribosomal RNA (484 nucleotides) under uncultured bacterium. RNAcentral describes it as "partial 16S ribosomal RNA". It matches the Rfam family "Bacterial small subunit ribosomal RNA", at positions 30 to 507 of the family's 1533-position model. The record is from RNAcentral.
AUUGAACGCUGGCGGCAGGCCUAACACAUGCAAGUCGAGCGGAUGAAGGGAGCUUGCUCCUGGAUUCAGCGGCGGACGGGUGAGUAAUGCCUAGGAAUCUGCCUGGUAGUGGGGGAUAACGUCCGGAAACGGGCGCUAAUACCGCAUACGUCCUGAGGGAGAAAGUGGGGGAUCUUCGGACCUCACGCUAUCAGAUGAGCCUAGGUCGGAUUAGCUAGUUGGUGGGGUAAAGGCCUACCAAGGCGACGAUCCGUAACUGGUCUGAGAGGAUGAUCAGUCACACUGGAACUGAGACACGGUCCAGACUCCUACGGGAGGCAGCAGUGGGGAAUAUUGGACAAUGGGCGAAAGCCUGAUCCAGCCAUGCCGCGUGUGUGAAGAAGGUCUUCGGAUUGUAAAGCUCUUUAAGUUGGGAGGAAGGGCAGUAAGUUAAUACCUUGCUGUUUUGACGGUACCAACAGAAUAAGCACCGGCUAACUUCGUG